Molecule: ribosomal RNA, 1346 nt
Filed under: uncultured bacterium
Lineage: Bacteria
Description: partial 16S ribosomal RNA
Rfam family: Bacterial small subunit ribosomal RNA
Source: RNAcentral
GACGAACGCUUGCGGCGUGCUUAACACAUGCAAGUCGAACGGAAAGGCCCUGCUUUUGUGGGGUGCUCGAGUGGCGAACGGGUGAGUAACACGUGAGUAACCUGCCCUUGACUUUGGGAUAACUUCAGGAAACUGGGGCUAAUACCGGAUAGGAGCUCCUGCUGCAUGGUGGGGGUUGGAGAGUUUCGGCGGUUGGGGAUGGACUCGCGGCUUAUCAGCUUGUUGGUGGGGUAGUGGCUUACCAAGGCUUUGACGGGUAGCCGGCCUGAGAGGGUGACCGGCCACAUUGGGACUGAGAUACGGCCCAGACUCCUACGGGAGGCAGCAGUGGGGAAUAUUGCACAAUGGGCGGAAGCCUGAUGCAGCAACGCCGCGUGCGGGAUGACGGCCUUCGGGUUGUAAACCGCUUUCGCCUGUGACGAAGCGUGAGUGACGGUAAUGGGUAAAGAAGCACCGGCUAACUACGUGCCAGCAGCCGCGGUGAUACGUAGGGUGCGAGCGUUGUCCGGAUUUAUUGGGCGUAAAGGGCUCGUAGGUGGUUGAUCGCGUCGGAAGUGUAAUCUUGGGGCUUAACCCUGAGCGUGCUUUCGAUACGGGUUGACUUGAGGAAGGUAGGGGAGAAUGGAAUUCCUGGUGGAGCGGUGGAAUGCGCAGAUAUCAGGAGGAACACCAGUGGCGAAGGCGGUUCUCUGGGCCUUUCCUGACGCUGAGGAGCGAAAGCGUGGGGAGCGAACAGGCUUAGAUACCCUGGUAGUCCACGCUGUAAACGGUGGGUACUAGGUGUGGGGUCCAUUCCACGGGUUCCGUGCCGUAGCUAACGCUUUAAGUACCCCGCCUGGGGAGUACGGCCGCAAGGCUAAAACUCAAAGGAAUUGACGGGGCCCCGCACAAGCGGCGGAGCAUGCGGAUUAAUUCGAUGCAACGCGUAGAACCUUACCUGGGUUUGACAUGGAUCGGGAGUGCUCAGAGAUGGGUGUGCCUCUUUUGGGGUCGGUUCACAGGUGGUGCAUGGCUGUCGUCAGCUCGUGUCGUGAGAUGUUGGGUUAAGUCCCGCAACGAGCGCAACCCUUGUUCACUGUUGCCAGCACGUUAUGGUGGGGACUCAGUGGAGACCGCCGGGGUCAACUCGGAGGAAGGUGGGGAUGACGUCAAGUCAUCAUGCCCCUUAUGUCCAGGGCUUCACGCAUGCUACAAUGGCUGGUACAGAGAGUGGCGAGCCUGUGAGGGUGAGCGAAUCUCGGAAAGCCGGUCUCAGUUCGGAUUGGGGUCUGCAACUCGACCUCAUGAAGUCGGAGUCGCUAGUAAUCGCAGAUCAGCAACGCUGCGGUGAAUACGUUCCCGGGGCU